AUUGAACGCUGGCGGCAGGCCUAACACAUGCAAGUCGAACGAGUGGCGGACGGGUGAGUAAUGUCUGGGAAACUGCCAGAUGGAGGGGGAUAACUACUGGAAACGGUAGCUAAUACCGCAUACCAUCGGAUGUGCCCAGAUGGGAUUAGCUAGUAGGUGGGGUAACGGCUCACCUAGGCGACGAUCCCUAGCUGGUCUGAGCGGAUGACCAGCCACACUGGAACUGAGCCACGGUCCAGACUCCUACGGGAGGCAGCAGUGGGGAAUAUUGCACAAUGGGCGCAAGCCUGAGGCAGCCAUGCCGCGUGUAUGAAGAAGGCCUUCGGGUGGUAAAGUACUUUCAGCGAGGAGGCGUUACCCGCAGAAGAAGCACCGGCUAACUCCGUGCCAGCAGCCGCGGUAAUUC
Molecule: ribosomal RNA, 406 nt
Filed under: uncultured bacterium
Lineage: Bacteria
Description: partial 16S ribosomal RNA
Rfam family: Bacterial small subunit ribosomal RNA
Source: RNAcentral